RNAcentral lists this ribosomal RNA (497 nucleotides) under uncultured bacterium. RNAcentral describes it as "partial 16S ribosomal RNA". It matches the Rfam family "Bacterial small subunit ribosomal RNA", at positions 28 to 507 of the family's 1533-position model. The record is from RNAcentral.
GAUGAACGCUGGCGGCGUGCCUAAUACAUGCAAGUCGAGCGAACAGACGAGGAGCUUGCUCCUCUGACGUUAGCGGCGGACGGGUGAGUAACACGUGGAUAACCUACCUAUAAGACUGGGAUAACUUCAGGAAACCGGAGCUAAUACCGGAUAAUAUAUUGAACCGCAUGGUUCAAUAGUGAAAGACGGUUUUGCUGUCACUUAUAGAUGGAUCCGCGCCGCAUUAGCUAGUUGGUAAGGUAACGGCUUACCAAGGCAACGAUGCGUAGCCGACCUGAGAGGGUGAUCGGCCACACUGGAACUGAGACACGGUCCAGACUCCUACGGGAGGCAGCAGUAGGGAAUCUUCCGCAAUGGGCGAAAGCUUGACGGAGCAACGCCGCGUGAGUGAUGAAGGUCCUCGGAUCGUAAAACUCUGUUAUUAGGGAAGAACAAAUGUGUAAGUAACUAUGCACGUCUUGACGGUACCUAAUCAGAAAGCCACGGCUAACUACGUG